Molecule: long non-coding RNA, 1519 nt
Organism: Marmota monax (woodchuck)
Lineage: Eukaryota; Metazoa; Chordata; Mammalia; Rodentia; Sciuridae
Exons: 3
Source: RefSeq, a predicted model, not a curated record
UGUGUCUCUGUUUGCAUCCGGCAGGAGGAUGACAAGGAGGUUCAGAGCCUGCAGUUGUUGCUUCUUGGUUGGAAGAUCUGCAGAUAGAUUAGAUAGAUCUGAACUCUUUUCUUUAUUGAAUAUUUUUCUUUAUAUUUUCAAGCAAAAAAGUUAUUUGGCAUAAACAUUACAGUAAAAUGUAAGAUGCAACGACAACUGAGCAGCAAGCCUGGUUGAGAGAGUUUGUGGGAGAUCAGUGGAGCAGCUGCCAAGAGCUUCCUCUCCCUCAGAAUGCUCACUUCCAACUGUGAUCAUAUGACGAGCGGCCUUAUGUUUGCAGACACACAACAGUGCUUUGGAAAUAAUUUUAACUUCUGUGAGAUAAUUAUUCCCCAAUGAAAAGACAAAGAAGAUUGUACCUUCCAUGACAUGGUAUCAGGGUGCAUCUUGUGUUUCUUUUAAUGAGGGAAGACCCAAUUGAGUUGUCCAGCUGAUGAAUCCAAAGGCACUUCUCAUGACAGACCACUGUGAUUUGCUGCUUACAAUUCAGAGGGGACACAAGCAGAUGAGUGUUACCUACAAGCAAACUCUUCAUAUGAAUGAAAAGCUUGGAGCUAUACCACCAAUACUUCAUUCUAGCAGGCUGCCAGAGUCUAGAGAAUGUUGAAGAGAAAAUAAUGAAAAGUAACUAAAUAAACUUUAACAACAACGACAACAAAAUACUGUCAAGAGAAAUGACAAAGGGAGAUUUUUCUCAAGGGACCGGAUACCAUGCUCAGCCUGGUGAGGAAGCAUCAUCGAACCUUAUGAAAACCUAGGCUCACAGAACUUCCCUGGUUUUGUGAUGAGAUUCUAGAAAAGCAUGUGAAGUCUUCUUUCUACACAAGAGACUCAUGGAAAAAAAAAAAAAAAAAAAGAGCACCUUUUAACCCAGAAAUUCACCAUUCCAAGCCUCAAGCUAGAAGAUUCCUAGGAACUGAACAUGGAAUGUGGUCCACCGUGGGUCCACUAUGACAGAGGACCUGAGGGAAAGACAUUUCAGUCCCACAGAGAAACUGCCGCUAAUAUUUAAACCAGGUGACUACUUGCCUUGGCUAAUGUUACCAUAGCAACUCAUAGUCCUCAUUCAUGGUGUCCCUUUAGGAGGCACCUUUCAGGUUAAACAAGAGGACAAAGAGUCCUACACAGUAAAGCUUUGUCAGUAGAGAAUUAUCUGGAUUUCCAGACCAAUAAAACCCCAGAGGAACAAAAACCAAAGAUGUAUUCAUUCUUUAUCAUGCUACGAAAUAUAAAUUCUAUUUCUGUAAUAGGUAAAGCAAGCUGCUUACAAAAGAAAAACUACACAUAUAUAGGAUUAGUAUCAUCUAGGGGUACCGUAUAUAUGUUACAAUGACAUUCCCUUAAUAGGAUAAGAACUAUUUUAAAAAUGUAGUUACAACUCAUAGGUAAGUGAACAAAGCGACAAAAUACUAACUACCCCAGUAUUUUCUAGCCAGUGAUAAGUGAGAGUCAUAAUUUAGGACCAACCAGCUCAAAGUCA